ACUUCAUUUGCAGUCCACUUUUCAAUGUGAGAAAUUAGAAACGCUUUUAAGCAAAGUUACGAACUAUAAAACAGCUGGGAAGCAAGGAACGACAACUUUAAAGAGGAGGAAAAAAGCAGUAAGAGAAUUUACUCCAGGCUUGGCUGACUGCAAGUUUCUUCUGUAGCUUGACACUAAUAAACACACACAAGCAUGAUUGUUUCUGUAAUAAGGUCGCUUAUGAAGGCCGUAGAGGCAGUGGUCUCUGCAGAGAACCUUGAGAGGAACUGAACUCUGCUUCAUGAGUACCUUGCUGAUCCUGGCAGUGAGUCUGGAGCGAUGAGGGAGUAGGAUCCGAGGAAGGGUGACUUACAGCAUCUUGAUGCUCCCGACCAUUGUGACUGCUGCUGGUGCACCGAGGAACUCCUCCUGUAAGAUCUGGGGUCACAGGACCGAAUGAACUUUUCCCCUCAUCAGCUGUGGAAAGGAGGACCAGCGGUGUUUUCUCCCUCUCCCACCGCCUGAUGAAUGUCAGGCCCCCAGCUUGUUAACUGCUGAUUUGGCCAUCAUUAGGCCCCCGCUCCAGCUGACUGCCCAUUUAUCCUGGCUUCACACAUCACCAUGCCAACGGAGGAUGGUGUAUAGGUAUUCUCCUAUUAUGCUUAAGUAGCACUUUGGAACAUGUUUCAAUUUAAGGUGGCACACAAAUCUAACUUCCCUCAUCCUUUAAUUUGACUCAGUGGUAGCACUAUGGGAAUAACAGACAAUGCACAGCCUAUUAGCAAUUAUCCAGUGAAUCACUGCUACAGUCUGUCAUCCUGGUGCUUAUUUAAUGCAGUCUCUUACGGCCUAGUAGAACAUUGCCUAUCUGCUGGGCUCUGCCUACUGAUCCCUGUAUAGCAGGCACAUCCAAUGUGGCACGUGAAAUAUGCCUGCAUCCUCCUAAGGAAAUAUCUAUAAAUAUAAGGUAUAAUAGCCAAACAGUAAACAAGGAUGAUCCAACAGAUUCUUCUCCAAUAAAACAGUCGAACAAAGAUGACUCAGUAGAUUCCACUCCAAUGUACAUAGUUACUGCAUUUUAAAAAUCACUAAAGGGAACUGUGAAAAGGUGCUUGUAUGAGCUAGGAACAGUGCUUUAGCUCUUGAGUAUCUGAUAAGAGAAAGAGAGGAUGAGAGCUUGCAGUCGGUCACUGGACCAGAGCACACACAUACACACACACAAAUCUUCAUUGACCUUUAUGUUAUUGAAGUCAUAACGAUACUUUUUAUGUUAAUUUGAUGCUUCAAUAAGUAAAAACAGAUAGAAUCUUCAGAAAAUUGAAAUUUGUCUAUAUGCACUGCCU
Cavia porcellus (domestic guinea pig) is the source of this 1322-nucleotide long non-coding RNA. RefSeq lists it as uncharacterized. NCBI's taxonomy places the organism in Eukaryota, Metazoa, Chordata, Mammalia, Rodentia, Caviidae. The transcript is spliced from 3 exons. The record is from RefSeq and is a predicted model, not a curated record.